AGCGCCCUACGGGAGGCAGCAGUGAGGAAUAUUGGUCAAUGGGCGCAAGCCUGAACCAGCCAAGUCGCGUGAGGGAUGACGGUCCUAUGGGUUGUAAACCUCUUUUGUCGGGGAGCAAGGCCCGCCACGUGUGGCGGGAAGGAGAGUACCCGAAGAAAAAGCAUCGGCUCACUCCGUGCCAGCAGCCGCGGUAAUACGGAGGAUGCGAGCGUUAUCCGGAUUUAUUGGGUUUAAAGGGUGCGUAGGCGGAAGGUUAAGUCAUCGGUCAACUGUCGGUGCUCACCACCGGCCUGCCGUUGAAACUG
This 305-nucleotide ribosomal RNA is filed under the name uncultured bacterium. RNAcentral describes it as "bacterial SSU rRNA". It matches the Rfam family "Bacterial small subunit ribosomal RNA", at positions 333 to 635 of the family's 1533-position model. The record is from RNAcentral.